RNAcentral lists this ribosomal RNA (452 nucleotides) under uncultured bacterium. Its description in RNAcentral is "bacterial SSU rRNA". It matches the Rfam family "Bacterial small subunit ribosomal RNA", at positions 354 to 796 of the family's 1533-position model. The record is from RNAcentral.
GUGGGGAAUAUUGGACAAUGGGGGGAACCCUGAUCCAGCCAUGCCGCGUGUGUGAAGAAGGCCUUUUGGUUGUAAAGCACUUUAAGCGAGGAGGAGGCUACCGAGAUUAAUACUCUUGGAUAGUGGACGUUACUCGCAGAAUAAGCACCGGCUAACUCUGUGCCAGCAGCCGCGGUAAUACAGAGGGUGCAAGCGUUAAUCGGAUUUACUGGGCGUAAAGCGCGCGUAGGUGGCCAAUUAAGUCAAAUGUGAAAUCCCCGAGCUUAACUUGGGAAUUGCAUUCGAUACUGGUUGGCUAGAGUAUGGGAGAGGAUGGUAGAAUUCCAGGUGUAGCGGUGAAAUGCGUAGAGAUCUGGAGGAAUACCGAUGGCGAAGGCAGCCAUCUGGCCUAAUACUGACACUGAGGUGCGAAAGCAUGGGGAGCAAACAGGAUUAGAAACCCCGGUUAGUCC